RNAcentral lists this ribosomal RNA (1260 nucleotides) under Flavobacterium sp. EP215. RNAcentral's name for it is "bacterial SSU rRNA". It matches the Rfam family "Bacterial small subunit ribosomal RNA", at positions 64 to 1335 of the family's 1533-position model. Lineage: Bacteria; Pseudomonadati; Bacteroidota; Flavobacteriia; Flavobacteriales; Flavobacteriaceae. The record is from RNAcentral.
GGGGGUAUAGGUUUUCGGAUCUAGAGACCGGCGCACGGGUGCGUAACGCGUAUGCAAUCUACCUUUUACAGAGGGAUAGCCCAGAGAAAUUUGGAUUAAUACCUCAUAGUAUUAUGAAAUGGCAUCAUUUUAUAAUUAAAGUCACAACGGUAAAAGAUGAGCAUGCGUCCCAUUAGCUAGUUGGUAAGGUAACGGCUUACCAAGGCAACGAUGGGUAGGGGUCCUGAGAGGGAGAUCCCCCACACUGGUACUGAGACACGGACCAGACUCCUACGGGAGGCAGCAGUGAGGAAUAUUGGACAAUGGGCGCAAGCCUGAUCCAGCCAUGCCGCGUGCAGGAUGACGGUCCUAUGGAUUGUAAACUGCUUUUGUACGAGAAGAAACACUACUUCGUGAAGUAGCUUGACGGUAUCGUAAGAAUAAGGAUCGGCUAACUCCGUGCCAGCAGCCGCGGUAAUACGGAGGAUCCAAGCGUUAUCCGGAAUCAUUGGGUUUAAAGGGUCCGUAGGCGGUUUAGUAAGUCAGUGGUGAAAGCCCAUCGCUCAACGGUGGAACGGCCAUUGAUACUGCUAGACUUGAAUUAUUAGGAAGUAACUAGAAUAUGUAGUGUAGCGGUGAAAUGCUUAGAGAUUACAUGGAAUACCAAUUGCGAAGGCAGGUUACUACUAAUUGAUUGACGCUGAUGGACGAAAGCGUGGGUAGCGAACAGGAUUAGAUACCCUGGUAGUCCACGCCGUAAACGAUGGAUACUAGCUGUUGGGAGCAAUUUCAGUGGCUAAGCGAAAGUGAUAAGUAUCCCACCUGGGGAGUACGUUCRCAAGAAUGAAACUCAAAGGAAUUGACGGGGGCCCGCACAAGCGGUGGAGCAUGUGGUUUAAUUCGAUGAUACGCGAGGAACCUUACCAAGGCUUAAAUGUAGAUUGACCGGUUUGGAAACAGAUCUUUCGCAAGACAAUUUACAAGGUGCUGCAUGGUUGUCGUCAGCUCGUGCCGUGAGGUGUCAGGUUAAGUCCUAUAACGAGCGCAACCCCUGUUGUUAGUUGCCAGCGAGUCAUGUCGGGAACUCUAACAAGACUGCCAGUGCAAACUGUGAGGAAGGUGGGGAUGACGUCAAAUCAUCACGGCCCUUACGCCUUGGGCUACACACGUGCUACAAUGGCCGGUACAGAGAGCAGCCACUGGGUGACCAGGAGCGAAUCUACAAAACCGGUCACAGUUCGGAUCGGAGUCUGCAACUCGACUCCGUGAAGCUGGAAUCGC